Peromyscus eremicus (cactus mouse) is the source of this 107-nucleotide small nuclear RNA. Lineage: Eukaryota; Metazoa; Chordata; Mammalia; Rodentia; Cricetidae. The record is from RefSeq and is a predicted model, not a curated record.
GUACUUGCUCUGGCAGCACAGACACUACAACUGGAAUGAUGCAGAGAAGACCGGCAUCACCCCUGGGCAAGGAUGACACCCACUGUUCAGGGUCCCCUUAAAAAAAG